AAUUAUACUAUUUCGAAAUUCAAACCCUAAACCCCAAAACUCAACUCUAAACCCUAAACCACCAAUCCUAAACCCUUUUUAUUUUAAAUACGAACCCUAAACCAUCAAUCCUAAACCUUUUUUUUUAAACAUCAACUUUAAACCCUGAAACAUCAACUCUAAACCCUAAACCCCGAAACAUCAAUUCUAAACCCUAAACCUUCAACUCUAAACCCUAAAACAUCAGCUCUAAACCCUAAAC
This 241-nucleotide long non-coding RNA is filed under the name Brassica napus (rape). Its description in RNAcentral is "long non-coding RNA (BNAP_LNC019036)". Lineage: Eukaryota; Viridiplantae; Streptophyta; Magnoliopsida; Brassicales; Brassicaceae. The record is from RNAcentral.